CUACAUCAAUUCUCUUCCACCUGACCACAGUCUUCAACCACAACAGGUUGCAAAGUCCUCCCGCUUUCUGAGCCUACUUUUUCCAUUUCCUUCACAACGCUAUAACCAUCCACUACUUUACCAAAGACAACAUGUUUUCCAUCCAGCCAUGGGGUCUUCUCAGUGCAUAUAAAGAACUGAGAACCGUUGGUGUUUGGUCCAGCAUUUGCCAUUGAUAGACAACCAGGUCCAGUGUGUUUGAGCUUGAAGUUUUCAUCCGCAAAUUUCAUGCCAUAGAUAGAUUCUCCACCCGUGCCAUUCCCCCUUGUGAAAUCUCCACCUUGACACAUGAAGCUCGGGAUGAUUCGGUGAAAUGCUGAGCCUUUAUAGUGCAACGGCUUCCCACACUGUCCAACACCUUUCUCC
This 405-nucleotide long non-coding RNA is filed under the name Gossypium barbadense (sea-island cotton). Its description in RNAcentral is "long non-coding RNA (GBAR_LNC022421)". The record is from RNAcentral. Lineage: Eukaryota; Viridiplantae; Streptophyta; Magnoliopsida; Malvales; Malvaceae.